UUUGACCCCUAGUCUGGGAACCUCCAUAUGCCUCAGGUAUGACCCUUAAAAGACCAAAAAAAAAAAAAAAGAAAAAAAGGAAAGUUCCUCUUGGGUUGGCACCACUGAAUUUGCAAAAAGCCCUUAGCUAUAAAAUCAGUGACAUUUCCCUGAACUCAACAACCACUUCCCUCCCUUUCCUCAAUGGCCCAAUCCCUCAGCUUUCUACCUACUUUAAAUCCCAUUCUCCCCAAACAAUAGGCCCCAGAGCAAAAAAAUGACACAGCCCCUUGGUCAAAACCAGUCGCGCUGAGAAUGUGGUGUUUUCCUUUGAUUUCCCCAGCAGUUAGCCUAGCAGGGCUUGCAAAUCAAGAGCAGCUCUAAAGUGACCAUGGGCGGUGCCAAGAGAGCAUGGAGGACACUGCAGCAUCUGCCUGAAUCAUUUCGGCAAAGGAGUUGUCUUGUGGUGCAGUGGGACCUGUCAUUGCUACUAAGACGGCUCAGAUCACUGCAGAAGCACAGGUUCCAUUCUUGGGCCCCGGGAUUUCCACAUGCCUCAGGAGGAUAAAACAAAGUUGGCACUCUGCAACCCAGAAGAGGGCCCGCAUCAGAACCUGACCAUGUUGGCACCCUGAUCUUGAACUUCCAGCCUCCAGAACCGUGAGACAUUUCUGCUGUUUCUAAGCAACCUAUGGGUACUUUGUCAUAGCAGCCUGUGCUAAGACAGUAUCCACAUCUGGUUCUCAGGUGAAGGUGUGAACAGUAUUGUUGAGGGAACAUGUGAAUAAAAGACCAAGAUUUCAGAGAUGGUUAGAGGUAAAGUCAGUGACUCUAAGGUUCUAGAUGUAGAACGAAAACCAGAGGAGCAUAAUGUCACAAAUCCCGUUUGGAGUCUUCCAAAUAAAGUGUUUAGCAAUAUACAAUACUAUUAUUGUCAAAUAAGACAGAGUAUCUUCUGUGCUUAAAAAAAAAAAACAGCAACAAAUUUCAAGUUUGGUGAAUAGUGGCAGAAACUAGUUUCACUUGAGUUCAGUGGUAAAAGUGAGAUGUGGUUCAUCAAGAAACAAUUCAGACAAGGAACUGGGUUUGUGAAGAAGGGGUUGCGGGAAAGAUUUUUAAGAAUUUUGUUUUGGAAGGAGUUUCCUGGUGGCUCAGCAGGUUAAGGUUCCAUGUUGUCACCACUGUGGCACAGGUUUGGUCAUGUUUAAAGAAAGGCAUGGAUCCAAUUAGAGAAGCUGAGAUAGUGGAGGAAUGAGAAGGCUACGUUAAGAAUCUGCUGGGGAGGACUGCUUAAGAUUUAAGGUUCGGGUAGGGUCCAGGAAUCUGUAUUUAAGUUUCCCAUGUGACUCUUGGUGCUCAAGCAAGUUUGGGAGCUGGGAGAAUCACAGAGCAAAACAUUGUAGAAAGGUUGGAAAGGCUAGUAUCUCUAACACAGAUCUUUCAUGCUUUGAUUCUCUAAGCAGGAGAGGAAAAACUUAUAAUGGAUAUAGGUACAGACAGAUGUGAUAAUGGAUAGUUCAGAAGUAAUCUGCUCACAGCAAUUGGGGAAUGGAUGAGUUUAUAGGACUGGAGGUUUCAAAUUGUUUUGAAGAAUGAAGGACAGGUUGCUAAUGUUGAGAAACUGGUUGAGGAUGGUGACCUCAAGUUAUCUAAGGGCAUC
This is a long non-coding RNA of Sus scrofa (pig), 1639 nucleotides long. RefSeq lists it as uncharacterized. Lineage: Eukaryota; Metazoa; Chordata; Mammalia; Artiodactyla; Suidae. The record is from RefSeq and is a predicted model, not a curated record.